Molecule: ribosomal RNA, 753 nt
Filed under: uncultured Glomeraceae
Lineage: Eukaryota; Fungi; Glomeromycota; Glomeromycetes; Glomerales; Glomeraceae
Description: SSU rRNA
Rfam family: Eukaryotic small subunit ribosomal RNA
Source: RNAcentral
GGCCUACCAUGGUGGUAACGGGUAACGGGGUGUUAGGGCACGACACCGGAGAGGGAGCCUGAGAAACGGCUACCACAUCCAAGGAUGGCAGCAGGCGCGCAAAUUACCCAAUCCCGACACGGGGAGGUAGUGACAAUAAAUAACAAUACGGGGUUCUUUAGGAUCUCGUAAUUGGAAUGAGUACAAUUUAAAUCUCUUAACGAGGAACAAUUGGAGGGCAAGUCUGGUGCCAGCAGCCGCGGUAAUUCCAGCUCCAAUAGCGUAUAUUAAAGUUGUUGCAGUUAAAAAGCUCGUAGUUGAAUUUCGGGGUCAGCAGGUUGGUCGUGCCACUGGUAUGAACUGGUCUCGCUGAUCCCUCCUUUCUGAAGAACUGUAAUGUCAUUAAUUUGGUGUUGCAGGGAAACAGGACUGUUACUUUGAAAAAAUUAGAGUGUUUAAAGCAGGCUAACGCUUGAAUACAUUAGCAUGGAAUAAUGAAAUAGGACGUUCAAACCUAUUUUGUUGGUUUCUAGGAUUGACGUAAUGAUUAAUAGGGAUAGUUGGGGGCAUUAGUAUUCAAUUGUCAGAGGUGAAAUUCUUGGAUUUAUUGAAGACUAACUACUGCGAAAGCAUUUGCCAAGGAUGUUUUCAUUAAUCAAGAACGAAAGUUAGGGGAUCGAAGACGAUCAGAUACCGUCGUAGUCUUAACCAUAAACUAUGCCGACUAGGGAUCGGAUGAUGUUAAUUUUUUAAUGACUCAUUCGGCGCCUUACG